RNAcentral lists this ribosomal RNA (1664 nucleotides) under Salmonella enterica subsp. enterica serovar Paratyphi B. RNAcentral describes it as "partial 23S ribosomal RNA". It matches the Rfam family "Bacterial large subunit ribosomal RNA", at positions 1294 to 2925 of the family's 2925-position model. The record is from RNAcentral. Lineage: Bacteria; Pseudomonadati; Pseudomonadota; Gammaproteobacteria; Enterobacterales; Enterobacteriaceae.
AUGCUGACAUAAGUAACGAUAAAGCGGGUGAAAAGCCCGCUCGCCGGAAGACCAAGGGUUCCUGUCCAACGUUAAUCGGGGCAGGGUGAGUCGACCCCUAAGGCGAGGCCGAAAGGCGUAGUCGAUGGGAAACGGGUUAAUAUUCCCGUACUUGGUGUUACUGCGAAGGGGGGACGGAGAAGGCUAUGUUGGCCGGGCGACGGUUGUCCCGGUUUAAGCGUGUAGGUGUGUGUUCCAGGUAAAUCCGGUUCACUUUAACACUGAGGCGUGAUGACGAGGCACUACGGUGCUGAAGCAACAAAUGCCCUGCUUCCAGGAAAAGCCUCUAAGCAUCAGGUAACAUCAAAUCGUACCCCAAACCGACACAGGUGGUCAGGUAGAGAAUACCAAGGCGCUUGAGAGAACUCGGGUGAAGGAACUAGGCAAAAUGGUGCCGUAACUUCGGGAGAAGGCACGCUGACACGUAGGUGAAGUGAUUUACUCAUGGAGCUGAAGUCAGUCGAAGAUACCAGCUGGCUGCAACUGUUUAUUAAAAACACAGCACUGUGCAAACACGAAAGUGGACGUAUACGGUGUGACGCCUGCCCGGUGCCGGAAGGUUAAUUGAUGGGGUCAGCGCAAGCGAAGCUCCUGAUCGAAGCCCCGGUAAACGGCGGCCGUAACUAUAACGGUCCUAAGGUAGCGAAAUUCCUUGUCGGGUAAGUUCCGACCUGCACGAAUGGCGUAAUGAUGGCCAGGCUGUCUCCACCCGAGACUCAGUGAAAUUGAACUCGCUGUGAAGAUGCAGUGUACCCGCGGCAAGACGGAAAGACCCCGUGAACCUUUACUAUAGCUUGACACUGAACAUUGAGCCUUGAUGUGUAGGAUAGGUGGGAGGCUUUGAAGCGUGGACGCCAGUCUGCGUGGAGCCGACCUUGAAAUACCACCCUUUAAUGUUUGAUGUUCUAACGUGGACCCGUAAUCCGGGUUGCGGACAGUGUCUGGUGGGUAGUUUGACUGGGGCGGUCUCCUCCUAAAGAGUAACGGAGGAGCACGAAGGUUGGCUAAUCCUGGUCGGACAUCAGGAGGUUAGUGCAAUGGCAUAAGCCAGCUUGACUGCGAGCGUGACGGCGCGAGCAGGUGCGAAAGCAGGUCAUAGUGAUCCGGUGGUUCUGAAUGGAAGGGCCAUCGCUCAACGGAUAAAAGGUACUCCGGGGAUAACAGGCUGAUACCGCCCAAGAGUUCAUAUCGACGGCGGUGUUUGGCACCUCGAUGUCGGCUCAUCACAUCCUGGGGCUGAAGUAGGUCCCAAGGGUAUGGCUGUUCGCCAUUUAAAGUGGUACGCGAGCUGGGUUUAGAACGUCGUGAGACAGUUCGGUCCCUAUCUGCCGUGGGCGCUGGAGAACUGAGGGGGGCUGCUCCUAGUACGAGAGGACCGGAGUGGACGCAUCACUGGUGUUCGGGUUGUCAUGCCAAUGGCACUGCCCGGUAGCUAAAUGCGGAAGAGAUAAGUGCUGAAAGCAUCUAAGCACGAAACUUGCCCCGGGAUGAGUUCUCCCUGAGACUUAGAGUCUCCUGAAGGAACGUUGAAGACGACGACGUUGAUAGGCCGGGUGUGUAAGCGCAGCGAUGCGUUGAGCUAACCGGUACUAAUGAACCGUGAGGCUUAACCUUACAACGCCGAA